Molecule: ribosomal RNA, 253 nt
Filed under: uncultured bacterium
Lineage: Bacteria
Description: partial 16S ribosomal RNA
Rfam family: Bacterial small subunit ribosomal RNA
Source: RNAcentral
UACGAAGGGGGCUAGCGUUGCUCGGAAUUACUGGGCGUAAAGGGCGCGUAGGCGGACAGUUUAGUCAGAGGUGAAAGCCCAGAGCUCAACUCUGGAACUGCCUUUGAAACUGGUGAUCUUGAGUACGGGAGAGGUGAGUGGAAUUCCCAGUGUAGAGGUGAAAUUCGUAGAUAUUGGGAAGAACACCGGUGGCAAAGGCGGCUCACUGGCCCGUAACUGACGCUCAGGCGCGAUAGCGUGGGGAUCAAACAGG